This 607-nucleotide ribosomal RNA is filed under the name uncultured bacterium. Its description in RNAcentral is "bacterial SSU rRNA". The stretch from base 1 to 519 matches the Rfam family "Bacterial small subunit ribosomal RNA", at positions 338 to 873 of the family's 1533-position model. The record is from RNAcentral.
CCUACGGGAGGCAGCAGUGGGGAAUCUUGCGCAAUGGGCGAAAGCCUGACGCAGCAACGCCGCGUGCGGGAAGAGGCUUUCGGGCUGUAAACCGUUUUCAGCAGGAACGAAAAUGACGGUACCUGCAGAAGAAGGAGCGGCCAACUAUGUGCCAGCAGCCGCGGUGAUACAUAGGCUUCAAGCGUUGUCCGGAUUUAUUGGGCGUAAAGAGUUCGUAGGCGGUCGAGUAAGUCGGGUGUGAAAAUUCUGGGCUCAACCCAGAGACGCCACCCGAUACUGCUUAACUUGAGUUCGAUAGGGGAGUGGGGAAUUCCUAGUGUAGCGGUGAAAUGCGCAGAUAUUAGGAGGAACACCGGUGGCGAAGGCGCCACUCUGGAUCGAUACUGACGCUGAGGAACGAAAGCAUGGGUAGCAAACAGGAUUAGAUACCCUGGUAGUCCAUGCCGUAAACGGUGGGCACUAGGUGUGGGAUUCUAUUAACGAAUUCCGNGCCGUCGCUAACGCAUUAAGUGCCCCGCCUGGGGGAGGUACGGUCGCGAGACGUAAACGUACAANAGAGUAAGUACGGCGUUGAGACGUUGCCGAACGGCGACGACGAGGGAGGAGG